Molecule: unclassified non-coding RNA, 472 nt
Filed under: Candida albicans
Lineage: Eukaryota; Fungi; Ascomycota; Pichiomycetes; Serinales; Debaryomycetaceae
Description: sequence contains 18S rRNA gene, ITS1, 5.8S rRNA gene, ITS2, 28S rRNA gene
Rfam family: 5.8S ribosomal RNA (bases 148-301)
Source: RNAcentral
GAUCAUUACUGAUUUGCUUAAUUGCACCACAUGUGUUUUUCUUUGAAACAAACUUGCUUUGGCGGUGGGCCCAGCCUGCCGCCAGAGGUCUAAACUUACAACCAAUUUUUUAUCAACUUGUCACACCAGAUUAUUACUAAUAGUCAAAACUUUCAACAACGGAUCUCUUGGUUCUCGCAUCGAUGAAGAACGCAGCGAAAUGCGAUACGUAAUAUGAAUUGCAGAUAUUCGUGAAUCAUCGAAUCUUUGAACGCACAUUGCGCCCUCUGGUAUUCCGGAGGGCAUGCCUGUUUGAGCGUCGUUUCUCCCUCAAACCGCUGGGUUUGGUGUUGAGCAAUACGACUUGGGUUUGCUUGAAAGACGGUAGUGGUAAGGCGGGAUCGCUUUGACAAUGGCUUAGGUCUAACCAAAAACAUUGCUUGCGGCGGUAACGUCCACCACGUAUAUCUUCAAACUUUGACCUCAAAUCAGG